Molecule: long non-coding RNA, 1380 nt
Organism: Homarus americanus (American lobster)
Lineage: Eukaryota; Metazoa; Arthropoda; Malacostraca; Decapoda; Nephropidae
Exons: 3
Source: RefSeq, a predicted model, not a curated record
AACAAAAAGUAAAUAAAAAAUAAUUUAUUUUCCGACUACAUGAAUGUGAAUAUACACGUUUCUCAGAUGAAAUUACUACAUGGUAUUUAGCAAAGUUUCAAUAAUAUGUACACAUCACAGUUUAAGUAACCAAGUCAAACAUUAUGUCGGCAAAUAUCAGAAAAUACUCGUUACUUGAUAAUCUAACAUUUUUUGGUAACUUUUUUAUUUAUCUCCUACUCCUUAAAGACAACAUACAAAUAGUGUAAUGAAAGUUUAACAUACUCUGUCUCACUGUUACUUCACAAGGGCUUAACUACUAUACUGCACUGAUAUCAAACUUUAAAUAAACAUCAAAUAUGUCUAUCUUUAUAUUUUGGGUCAAAUGUGACUUUAAAGAUGACAAUUAUUAGCACUCGAUAUGAUUUAAACAGUCCGGUCCAAGUGAUAACUAUUGAGACAGAAUACAUUCUGUAAUAACAAGCAAUUCCCUACCAAUCAGAUUAUCUAACAAAUUGCACAUGUAAGUUGUUAUUCAUGUCACCACUGACAAAUUGCACAGAAUUGUUGUCUUCAAAUGUCACUCAAUGUUGAAUAAUUUGUAAAUUAAAGACCAUUAGACAUUUCUAUGAGGUGUCAAGUGCAGUACAGUGUAUAGCUGUGUCAGGUGAGAGGUGUCAUGUAUGGUACAGUGAGUAGCUGUGUCAGAUGAGAGGUGUCAAGUGUGGUACAGUGUGUAGCUGUGUCAGAUGAGAGGUGUCAUGUAUGUUACAGCGUGUAGCUGUGUCAUGUAUGGUACAGUGUGUAGCUGUGUCAAGUGUGGUACAGUGUGUAGCUGUGUCAGAUGAGAGGUGUCAAGUGUGGUACAGUGUGUAGCUGUGUCAGAUGAGAGGUGUCAAGUGUGGUACAGUGUGUAGCUGUGUCAGAUGAGAGGUGUCAUGUAUGGUACAGUGAGUAGCUGUGUCAGAUGAGAGGUGUCAAGUGUGGUACAGUGUGUAGCUGUGUCAGAUGAGAGGUGUCAAGUGUGGUACAGUGUGUAGCUGUGUCAGAUGAGAGGUGUCAAGUGUGGUACAGUGUGUAGCUGUGUCAUGUAUGGUACAGCGUGUAGCUGUGUCAAGUGUGGUACAGUGUGUAGCUGUGUCAGAUGAGAGGUGUCAAGUGUGGUACAGUGUGGCUGUGUCAUGUAUGGUACAGCGUGUAGCUGUGUCAAGUGUGGUACAGUGUGUAGCUGUGUCAGAUGAGAGGUGUCAAGUGUGGUACAGUGUGUAGCUGUGUCAGGUGAGAGGUGUCAUGUAUGGUACAGUGAGUAGCUGUGUCAAAUGAGAGGUGUCAAGUGUGGUACAGUGUGUAGCUGUGUCAGAUGAGAGGUGUCAAGUGUGGUACAGUGUGUAGCUGUGUCAA